UACGAGGGGGGCUAGCGUUGCUCGGAAUCACUGGGCGUAAAGGGUGCGUAGGCGGGUCUUUAAGUCAGGGGUGAAAUCCUGGAGCUCAACUCCAGAACUGCCUUUGAUACUGAGGAUCUUGAGUUCGGGAGAGGUGAGUGGGAACUGCGAGUGUAGAGGUGAAAUUCGUAGAUAUUCGCAAAGAACACCAGUGGCGAAGGCGGCUCACUGGCCCGAUACUGACGCUGAGGCA
This 232-nucleotide ribosomal RNA is filed under the name uncultured bacterium. RNAcentral's name for it is "partial 16S ribosomal RNA". It matches the Rfam family "Bacterial small subunit ribosomal RNA", at positions 524 to 753 of the family's 1533-position model. The record is from RNAcentral.